ACGAACGCUGGCGGCGUGCCUAAUACAUGCAAGUAGAACGCUGAAGGAGGAGCUUGCUCUUCUGGAUGAGUUGCGAACGGGUGAGUAACGCGUAGGUAACCUGCCUGGUAGCGGGGGAUAACUAUUGGAAACGAUAGCUAAUACCGCAUAAGAGUAGAUGUUGCAUGACAUUUGCUUAAAAGGUGCAAUUGCAUCACUACCAGAUGGACCUGCGUUGUAUUAGCUAGUUGGUGGGGUAACGGCUCACCAAGGCGACGAUACAUAGCCGACCUGAGAGGGUGAUCGGCCACACUGGGACUGAGACACGGCCCAGACUCCUACGGGAGGCAGCAGUAGGGAAUCUUCGGCAAUGGACGGAAGUCUGACCGAGCAACGCCGCGUGAGUGAAGAAGGUUUUCGGAUCGUAAAGCUCUGUUGUAAGAGAAGAACGAGUGUGAGAGUGGAAAGUUCACACUGUGACGGUAUCUUACCAGAAAGGGACGGUUAACUACGUG
RNAcentral lists this ribosomal RNA (494 nucleotides) under uncultured bacterium. RNAcentral's name for it is "partial 16S ribosomal RNA". It matches the Rfam family "Bacterial small subunit ribosomal RNA", at positions 29 to 507 of the family's 1533-position model. The record is from RNAcentral.